ACUUGACGAAUGUGACUUGAAACAAGAACUGAAUUAACUAUUACUUACAUGAAUCAACUCUAUUGGAGGCUAAGCGUUUUGAGCUUAGUAGGGUGGUGGUGGCGAUGCAUAAUUGUAAACUGGUGGUGGAGGUGACUUCACCGGUGGGGGAGGAGAGUGGUAGUAGUAUGGAGGUGGUGGGGAUGGUGAUGGAGGUGGUGGGGAUUUGUAGUAGUAUGGUGGUGGAGGCGAGUGGACUGGUGGGGGAGGAGAGUGGUAAUAGUACGGAGGUUGAGGAGAUGGUGACGGAGGUGGUGGGGACUUGUAAUAGUAUGGUGGUGGAGGUGAGUGGACAGGUGGGGGAGGAGAGUGGUAAUAAUAUGGCGGUGGAGGAGAUGGCGACGGAGGUGGUGGGGAUUUGUAGUAGUAGGGCGGGGGAGGAGAGUGGACUGGUGGUGGUGGGGAUUUGUAGUAGUAUGGAGGUGGAGGUGAGUAGACUGGUGGUGGUGGGGAUUUGUAGUAGUAUGGAGGUGGAGGUGAGUGGACUGGUGGUGGCGGGGAUUUGUAGUAGUAGGGUGGAGGAGGAGAGUGGACUGGAGGUGGCGGGGAUUUGUAGUAGUAUGGUGGUGGAGGCGAGUAGACUGGAGGGGAUGGUGACUUGUAGUAGUAAGGUGGCGGAGGUGAGUAAACGGGAGGAGUGGGUGAUUUAUAGUAGUAAGGUGGUGGAGGUGAGUAGACUGGUGGUGGAGGUGAUUUGUAAUAGUAUGGGGCAGGUAUGUGGACUGGCGGCGGUGGUGACUUGUAAUAGUAGGGAGGUGGAGGGGAUGGUGAAGGUGGUGGUGGAGACUUAUAGUAGUAUGGCGGUGGGGGUGAAUAGACUGGUGGUGGAGGUGAUUUAUAAUAGUAUGGAGGUGGAGGAGAUGGCGAUGGAGGUGGCGGAGAUUUAUAGUAGUAAGGUGGUGGAGGAGAGUGGACUGGUGGUGGAGGUGAUUUGUAAUAGUAUGGCGGUGGAGGAGAGUAGACUGGUGGUGGAGGUGAUUUAUAGUAGUAUGGCGGUGGUGGUGAGUGGACAGGUGGUGGAGGUGACUUGUAGUAAUACGGUGGAGGAGAAGAAUAGACCGGUGGUGGUGGAGAUUUAUAAUAGUAAGGUGGUGUCGGAUACUUUAUUGGAGGUGGAGGGGAUUUGUAAUAAUAGGGUGGUGGUGGUGAGGGUGAAGGAGGUGGUGGAGAUUUAUAGUAAUAUGGUGGUGGAGGUGAGUGGACUGGAGGUGGUGGAGAUUUGUAGUAGUAUGGUGGAGGUGAGUAGACAGGUGGGGGAGGAGACUUGUAAUAAUAUGGUGGUGGAGGUGAGUAGACCGGUGGUGGUGGGGAUUUAUAGUAGUAUGGUGGUGGUGAAUAAACCGGUGGUGGAGGAGACUUGUAGUAGUACGGUGGGGGAUGUGAAUAGACUGGUGGAGGUGGAGACUUAUAAUAGUAUGGGGGAGGAGAGUAAGUUGGUGGCGGUGGAGACUUAUAGUAAUAUGGUGAUGGAGAUGGUGGUGGCGGAGACUUAUAGUAAUAAGGCGACGGUGGGUAUUUUACAGGAGGUGGGGGAGAUUUAUAGUAAUAAGGUGGUGGGUAUUUCACAGGAGGUGGUGGAGACUUGUAAUAAUAUGGUGGAGGUGGAGGAGACUUAUAAAUGUAAGUUGGUGGUGGUGGAGGCGGUGACUUGUAGUAAUAAGGAGCGGGGGUAGGCUCAGGCUUGGGCUUCUCACAUUCCUCAUAAGGAGUCUUAGGAGCAUAAGCAAAUGGCUUGGCGUAGAGCACAACUUCAUAAUCAGUCUUCGACUUGACUUUAAGUUUGGCUCCCUUUUUACCCCAGUGCAAGUCAGUGGGAAUGUUGCAUGGUGAACCCUUUGGUGCCAUAUGGAGCUUGGCCUUGCAUGCUUUAGCU
RNAcentral lists this long non-coding RNA (1912 nucleotides) under Citrus maxima (pomelo). RNAcentral's name for it is "long non-coding RNA (CMAX_LNC002496)". The record is from RNAcentral. Lineage: Eukaryota; Viridiplantae; Streptophyta; Magnoliopsida; Sapindales; Rutaceae.